UACAGAGGGUGCGAGCGUUAAUCGGAAUUACUGGGCGUAAAGCGUGCGUAGACGGUAGCGUAAGUCAGAUGUGAAAGCCCCGGGCUCAACCUGGGAACUGCAUUUGAGACUGCUCUGCUCGGGUGCGGAAGAGGGAAGCGGAAUUUCCGGUGUAGCGGUGAAAUGCGUAGAUAUCGGAAGGAACACCAGUGGCGAAAAGCGGCUUCCUGGUCCGACACCGACGUUCAGGCACGAAAGCGUGGGGAGCGAACAGG
This 254-nucleotide ribosomal RNA is filed under the name uncultured bacterium. RNAcentral's name for it is "partial 16S ribosomal RNA". It matches the Rfam family "Bacterial small subunit ribosomal RNA", at positions 524 to 776 of the family's 1533-position model. The record is from RNAcentral.